Molecule: non-coding RNA, 595 nt
Organism: Meleagris gallopavo (turkey)
Lineage: Eukaryota; Metazoa; Chordata; Aves; Galliformes; Phasianidae
Source: RefSeq, a predicted model, not a curated record
GCUGGAGAUCUCUGUGUACCUGUGCUCUUCUGAAGACAGGCAAUGGCUGUGAAUGGCCACAUCCCACUGGCCCAGUGGCCCGGCGGGGACGUUUGUCACCGUCUGCCGGAGCAGCGACACGGGGAGAGCGGAUGGGAAAUCAAUAUGGAGACUGCGAGCUGCGGGACUCAGGGACCUGCUGCGCCAGGACCUUUUAUUGAAUUUGUGAUCUUUCUCAUUGUUCCUCUGCUGUUUUGUAUCCCCUUCUUGUUUUUAUGGUGCAGAAUUGGAUUUGACUCGAUUUUCCUUCAUAUUGCACUGCAGCCAGCCUGGCGCGGCAGCACCACGAGUUCCAGCCCUGUGGUGAUGCCUUGGUCUCACCCUGGCACCUCCUGAGGUGAUGGGGUUAUUUGUGCUGGCAAAAAUUGGAUUAGAAGGCGAGAGAGCAAUCGGGGACUGCUGAAUUGCUAAGGCACUCUGUGCAGCAGGAUCUGCUGCAGUUGUCUUGGUCCUGAGCCACGGUAAUUGUAUUCUAUGAAAUAUUUAUUCAUUUUCAUUUCAAUUUCGUUUCCAACUUGUAUUUCCUAUAAAAUGAUGUGGAAGGGGAGGAAAAAAA